RNAcentral lists this transfer RNA (71 nucleotides) under Marmota marmota marmota (Alpine marmot). It matches the Rfam family "tRNA". Rfam says of the family: Transfer RNA (tRNA) molecules are approximately 80 nucleotides in length. Their secondary structure includes four short double-helical elements and three loops (D, anti-codon, and T loops). RNAcentral also lists the same sequence under 1 other name. The record is from Rfam by way of RNAcentral. Lineage: Eukaryota; Metazoa; Chordata; Mammalia; Rodentia; Sciuridae.
GGGGUUGUAGCUCAGUGGUAGAGCACUUGCCUAGCAUGUGAGAGGCACUGGGUUCAAUCCUCAGCACCUCA